This 66-nucleotide transfer RNA is filed under the name Pylocheles mortensenii. RNAcentral's name for it is "tRNA-Phe". The record is from RNAcentral. Lineage: Eukaryota; Metazoa; Arthropoda; Malacostraca; Decapoda; Pylochelidae.
ACUUUUAUAAUUUAUAAUGAGAAUAUUGUACUGAAGAUACAAAAGAAAUUUUUUAGUUUGAAAGUA